CAGUACUGGGGAUUGGACACAGUGUCACUCUGCAUUGCCAAGACUGGCCUCAAAUUUUGAUGCCCCUGCCUCAGUUCUCAAGUCCUUGUGAUUACAAAUCACCACACGUGACAAUUAUUAAAGUAUUUUAAAUAUAACUGUUUUUAUUACUUUCUAAUUUUUACUUUUUUAAAAAAUAUUUUUUAGUUGCUAAUGGACCUUUAUUUAAUUUAUUUAUAUGUGGUGCUGAGAAUCAAACCCAGUGUCUCACACACUCUAGGUGAGCACCUUACCCCUGAGCCACAACCCCAGCCCCAUAAUUUUUACUUUUUUUAAAUAUUCUUUUUUUUAAAUUUUUAAAUUUUUAAAUAGACCUUUAUUUUAUUUAUUUAUACAUGGUGUUGAGAAUCAAACCCAGUGCCUCACACAUGCCAGGCAAGUGCGCUACCACUGAGCCACAGCCCCAGUUCCCUAAUUUUUACUUUUAAUGAAAAACAGUCUAGCUCUCUGCUAAGAAAACUGGUUACAGGUGUCUCUGCUCAGAUUGUCCCAUGACCUCAUUCCUACCCCUCAUCCUGAAGUCUAAAAACCUUAUUGAAAUUCCUUUUACAUUUGACUCUCUUAUAAUAUGCUUUCUAGUCACCUAAUGAUUGCAUUUUAUAUCAUUUGCCUUGAUGCUUUCCAGGAAGACAGUGACCAGCUAUCAUUUUCUCAGACUCCCACGGGCAAUGUGUGAAGAAUCCCAUUUUCCCAUAUCUUUAUCAGCUAUGGACAUUUUAAAAUGCUUGCUCAUAUGAUGAAUACAAAUUUUAUCUCAUAUUUGCAUUUUGUUAUUUGUAUUUUUCUAAUAGGAAGACUGAACUUCAUUUUUAUUUUGAAACAUUUUAGAAUUCCUUUAAAUUUCAAGUUCUAUCCAUUGUUCAUUUUUUUAUAUUUUUCUUAUUUUAACAAAAUUGUUUUAUUUUGAAAAGUGAAAUGGAAAAGAAUAUUAAAAAUAACCAGUACCCUUGUAACCAACAACCUAGAAUUAACAAAUGUAAGUAUUUUAUCAUAUUCAGCUCAAAUUGUUUUAAAUUAAAUGUUACAAAUAACUUCAAGAUUUUUCUCUAUCCAUUUAGUCCUAUUCUUCCAUUUCUCUCCCUCUUUCUCCAGAAGCAAAAAACUUAUCAAAACUUCAGUGUGUGUCCUUCCAGGCUAUGUGUUUAAAUCUCUAGCAUGUAUAUAUGGAACUGCAAAUUAUAUACAGUGUUGAUUUGUGUAUUUUUCUUAUUUUUUUAAUUAGUUAUACAUGACAGUAGAAUGUAUUUAUGCACUUUGAUGUAUCAUAUAUAGAUGGGAUAUAAUUUCUCAUUUUUCUGAGUGUACACAUUGGAGAAUCACAUUGGUCGUGCAGUCACAUAUAUACAUAAAGUAAUAAUGUCUGUUUUGUUCUACUAUCCUUCCUAUCCCCAUGUCUCCUCCCCAGCUUCACUUCCCUCUAACUCUAUUCUUCUCUAGUGCCCCCCACCUUGUUAUUGUGAAUUAGCAUCCACAUAUUAGAGAAAACAUUCAGCCUUUGCUUUGGGGGAUUGGCUUAUUUUGCUUAGCAAGAUAUUUUCCAACUCCAUCCAUUUACUGGCAAAUGCCAUAAUUUCAUUCUUCUUUAAACCUGAGUAAUAUUCCAUUGAAUAUAUAUAUCACAUUUUCUUUAUCCAUUUAUCUAUUGAAGGACACCUAGGUUGUUUCCAUAGGUUAGCUAUUGUGAAUUGAGCUGCUAUAAACAUUGAUGUGGCUGCAUUACUGUAGUAUGCUGAUUUUAAGUCCUUUGGGUAUAAACCGAGGAGUGGGUUAACUGGGUCAAAUGGUGGUUCCAUUUCAAGUUUUCUGAGGAAUCCAUGGUGGUUGCAACAACUUGCAGUCCCACCAGCAAUGUAUGAAUGUGCCUUUUUCCCCACAUCCUUGCCAACAUUUACUGUUGUCUGUAUUCUUGAUGAUUGCUAUUCAUACAAGAAUAAGAUGAAAUCUUAGUGUAGUUUUGAUUUGCAUUUCUUUAAUUGCUAGAGAUGUUGAACACUAUUUCAUAUAUUUGUUAAUUGAUGGUGUUUCUUCUUCUGUGAAGUGUCUAUUCAGUUCCUUAUCCCAUUUAUUGAUUGGGUUAUUUGUUUUUUGUUUGUUUGUUUGUUUUUGGUGUUAAGUUUUUUGAGUUCUUUAUAUAUCCUGGAGAUUAAUGCUUUAUCGAAGGUGCAUGCGGUAAAGAUUUUCUCCCAAUCUGUAGGCUCUCUCCUCCUAUUAUUGAUUGUUUCCUUUGCUGAAAAACCUUUUUAAUUUGAAUCCAUCCCUUUUAUUGAUUCUUGGAUUUUACUUCUUGCAUUUUAGGAGUCUUGUUAAGGAACUCAGAUCCUGGGCCGACACAGUGAAGAUCUGAGCCUACUUUUUCUUCUAUUAGGUGCAGGUCUAUGUUCUAGUGCCUAAGUCUUUGAUCCACUUUGAGUUGAUUUUUGUGUAGGGUGAGAGAUAGAGGUUUAAUUUCAUUUUGCUACAUAUAGAUUUCCAGUUUUGCCAGUACCAGUUAUUGAAUAGGCUAUCUUUUCUCCAGUAAAUAUUUUUAGCAGCUUUGUCUAGUAUGAGAUAACUGUAUUUAUGUGAUUUUGUCUCUGUGUCCUCUGUUCUGUACCAUUGGUCUAGAAGUCUAUUUUGGUGCCAAUACCAUGCCAUUUUUGUUACUAUAGCUCUGGAGUAUAGUUUAAGUUCUGGUAUUGUGAUGCCUCCUGCUUCACUUUGCUUUCUAAGGAUUGCUUUGGUUAUUCUGGGUCUCUUGUUUUUUCCAAAUGAAUUUUAUGAUUGCCUUUUCUAUUUCUAUGAAGAAUGUCAUUGGGAUUUUAAUAGGAAUUGCAUUAAAUCUGUAUAAUGCUUUUGGUAGUAUGGCCAUUGACAGUAUUAAUUCUGCCUAUCUAGAGCAUGGGAGAUCUUUUCAUCUUCUGGGGUUUUCUUUAAUUUAUUUGUUUAGUGUUCUGUAGUUUUUAUUGUAGAGGUCUUUCACCUCUUUUGUUAGAUUGAUUCCCAAGGAGUUGUUUUUUGGGGGGGUUUGUUUGUUUUGUUUUGAGUCUUUAAGCCAUCUGGAAUUAUUUUUGUAUGUGGUAUGAGAUAUGGAUCAAACAAGCCCCCACCAAACAGGGAAAGCCCUUAGACCUGGCAUCAUAAAUUAAGUAGCUUAUAUAUUCCCCACAGAUUGUGAUGCCACUCUAUCUUAGACCAAGUUACUGUGUAAGAACUGCUGGGCUCCUGGAUAUAUAUUCAGUUCCAUUGAUCAGUUUGUCUAUUUUUGUAGCAACACCACACUGUCCUAAUUAUAGGUUUAUAAUAGGCCAUGCUAGCUGGUAAGACAAUUCCUCUUUCCCUUGUUUUCUUUUUCACAAUUGCCUUGAUUCUUUUGGGACCUUGGCCUUUUUAUAUUAAUUUUAGAAUCUGCCAAGUUUUACAUACACACUUCAAAAUAAUCUUUAUUAGAUUCCAAUUGGAAUUACACAGAAUUUAUAAAUUAAUGGCUAAUUAUUAUAUUACUAUAUUUAAAUUUACUGUCUGCUAACAUUCAUGUCAGUUUUUAUCUUUUUCUUUUUCUUU
RNAcentral lists this long non-coding RNA (3579 nucleotides) under Marmota monax (woodchuck). The record is from RNAcentral. Lineage: Eukaryota; Metazoa; Chordata; Mammalia; Rodentia; Sciuridae.